UACGGAGGGGGCAAGCGUUAUUCGGAAUCAUUGGGCGUAAAGGGCGCGUAGGCGGCCCUGUAAGUCUUGGGUGAAAGCCCUCGGCUCAACCGAGGAAUUGCCUUGGAUACUGCAGGGCUCGAGGCUGGAAGAGGGCAGUGGAAUUCCCGGUGUAGCGGUGAAAUGCGUAGAUAUUGGGAGGAACACCAGUGGCGAAGGCGGCUCACUGGACCGGAACUGACGCUGAGACGCGAAAGCGUGGGGAGCGAACAGG
This 253-nucleotide ribosomal RNA is filed under the name uncultured bacterium. RNAcentral's name for it is "partial 16S ribosomal RNA". It matches the Rfam family "Bacterial small subunit ribosomal RNA", at positions 524 to 776 of the family's 1533-position model. The record is from RNAcentral.